GACGAACGCUGGCGGCGUGCUUAACACAUGCAAGUCGAACGGAGUGCUCAUGACAGAGGUUUCGGCCAAUAGAUUGAGUUACUUAGUGGCGGACUGGUGAGUAACGCGUGAGGAACCUGCCUUUCAGAGGGGGACAACAGUUGGAAACGACUGCUAAUACCGCAUGACACAUCAAGGGGGGCAUCCCUUUGAUGUCAAAGAUUUAUCGCUGAAAGAUGGCCUCGCGUCUGAUUAGAUAGUUGGCGGGGGUAACGGCCCACCAAGUCGACGAUCAGUAGCCGGACUGAGAGGUUGACCGGCCACAUUGGGACUGAGAUACGGCCCAGACUCCUACGGGAGGCAGCAGUGGGGAAUACUGGGCAAUGGACGCAAGUCUGACCCAGCAACGCCGCGUGAAGGAAGAAGGCUUUCGGGUUGUAAACUUCUUUUAAGGGGGAAGAGCAGAAGACGGUACCCCUUGAAUAAGCCACGGCUAACUACGUG
Molecule: ribosomal RNA, 483 nt
Filed under: uncultured bacterium
Lineage: Bacteria
Description: bacterial SSU rRNA
Rfam family: Bacterial small subunit ribosomal RNA
Source: RNAcentral